GUGAGGAAUAUUGCACAAUGGAGGAAACUCUGAUGCAGCAACGCCGCGUGGAGGAUGACGCAUUUCGGUGUGUAAACUCCUGUUAAGAGGGAAGAUUAUGACGGUACCUCUUGAAUAAGCACCGGCUAACUCCGUGCCAGAAGCCGCGGUAUUACGGAGGGUGCAAGCGGUACACGGAAUCACUGGGCGUAUAGGGUGCGCAGGCUGACUUUUAAGUCAGGCGUGAAAUCCUAUGGCUUAACCAUAGAACUGCGCUUGAAACUGGGGGUCUAGAGUUCAGAAGGGGCAGAUGCAAUUAGUGGUGUAGGGGUAAAAUCCGUAGAUAUCACUAGGAAUAUCAAAAGCGAAGGCGAUCUGAUGGGAUGAUACUGACGCUGAGGCACGAAAGCGUGGGGAGCAAACAGGAUUAGAUGCCCGUGUAGUCC
Molecule: ribosomal RNA, 425 nt
Filed under: uncultured bacterium
Lineage: Bacteria
Description: bacterial SSU rRNA
Rfam family: Bacterial small subunit ribosomal RNA
Source: RNAcentral